AACGCACCUUGCACUCUCUGGUAUUCCGGAGAGUACGCCUGUUCGAGUGUCAUGAAACUCUCAAGCAGAGAUAGCUUUGUUGCUGUUUUUGCUUGGAUUUGGACUUUGCUGUGUCAAUGCGGCUGGUCUUAAAUGUAUUAGCUGAUCCUUAUGUGGUUUGGUUCUACUCAGUGUGAUAAUUAUCUAACGUUGAGGACAGUCUUGGGACUGGCCAGAGCUUAUAUUUGGAUCGCUUCUAAUUGUCCUUUGGACAUAUUAUUUAAUUGUCUGACCUCGGAUCAGGUGGGAUUACCCGCUGAACUUAA
Molecule: unclassified non-coding RNA, 305 nt
Filed under: uncultured Hydnum
Lineage: Eukaryota; Fungi; Basidiomycota; Agaricomycetes; Cantharellales; Hydnaceae
Description: sequence contains ITS2
Source: RNAcentral